UGUGGUUUAAUUCGACGCAACGCGAAGAACCUUACCUGGGUUUGACAUGCAGGGAAAUCCCAUAGAGAUAGGGCGUCCGACAGGUGUGACGAGCGCAACCCUCGUCCUAUGUUGCCAGCGGGACGUCAAGUAUCAUGCCCCUUAUGUCCAGGCUGCAUACAUGGCCGGUACAAGGGCAGCGAAACCGCAAGGUAGAGCGUCCCAAAAAGCCGGUCUCAGUUCGGAUUGGGGUGCAACUCGACCCCAUGAAGUCGGAGUCGCUAGUAAUCGNGAUCAGCAACGCUGCGGUGAAUACGUUCCCGGGCCUUGUACACACCGCCGUCACGUCACGAAAGUCGGUAACACCCGAAGCCAGUGGCCCAACCCGCAAGGGAGGGAGCUGUCGAAGUGGGAUCGGCGAUUGGGACGAAGUCGUACAA
RNAcentral lists this ribosomal RNA (419 nucleotides) under uncultured actinomycete. Its description in RNAcentral is "bacterial SSU rRNA". It matches the Rfam family "Bacterial small subunit ribosomal RNA", at positions 940 to 1494 of the family's 1533-position model. The record is from RNAcentral. Lineage: Bacteria; Bacillati; Actinomycetota; Actinomycetes; Actinomycetales.